UGAUCCUUGAAUCUGCUGAAAGAGGU
RNAcentral lists this non-coding RNA (26 nucleotides) under Cricetulus griseus (Chinese hamster). The record is from RNAcentral. Lineage: Eukaryota; Metazoa; Chordata; Mammalia; Rodentia; Cricetidae.